CAUAAUGUUAAUGUUAAAUAAUUGCAUGCAACAUGAAAGCAAAGUGUUAUUUUCAGGGAGGAGAUAGCAGAGUUCUAUUGGAUUGGCUUGUUGAUUUUCAUAUGCCUUUUUUCUGGAUUUUUCUUUCUAGGAUUCAAUAAGGCAGGGACACUCAUAUACGUAUUUUGUUUUUUGCCAGACUGUACUGAAAUGGCAUAGAAUCAUAGAAUAAUAGAGUUAGACGAGACCACAUGGGCCAUCUAGUCCAACCCCCUGCAACGUAGGAAAAGCACAAAAGUAUCCCUGACAGAUAGCCAUCCAGCCUCUGUUUAAGUUUCCAAGGAGCUUCCGUCACACUCCAAGGCAGAAAGUUCCAUUGUUGAAUAGCUUAUACUGUCAGGAGGUUCUUCCUAAUGUUCAGGUGCAAUCUCCUCUCCUGUAAUUUAACUCCAUUGCUCCUAGUCCUAGUUUCAAGAGCAGUCAUCUCUUCCCUCAGUUUGUAAGGAAAAUUCCAAUAGGUGUGACAUCAACAAUUGCCUCCUACUAAUCGUGCAUGAAAUUUAAUCCUUCAGGUGAACAAGUUGAUUGAUGAAUUGCAGGCAGCUAUAAAGAGCUACAAAGGUCACCUCUCAAAACUUCUCCCUCAGUUACGGGCUGAACAAGAGCAAUGCACUUCCUAUGUCUACCAGCACAUUAAAGAACUUCCUGCAAACACACUUGUCUCACAAGGUCUGCAGCUAAAGGUUUAUGAAAAUGGCAAAGAUAUUGGGGAAACUAUUGUUUACAUCAGUAGAAAAGAGAUGGAAAGUACCAGUAAUUGUGGGAAUCAACUCAGCAUUAUGCUAGAAAAGGUACAGCACAUAAUUCACCAAAGGCUCCAAUGUUCAGCAGAAUUCAGACCAUCCUGCCUCAGUCGCUUUCCAACUCACCUUUUUGAUGAGACUGGACAAGAAAUUAAAAACCCACUUUUACUGCAGAAUGAGCAAAAAAUUUGGGUUUCUUAUGGUGAAGAUUACAGGUAGGAACAAAGUGUUUCACUAGGUGACUGUCAGCAAUCUCUGUGUUGUCAAACUGCUGUAAAAGGAAGUUUGAUAACCUCCAAGCACAUACCCUUUUGUUAUUUUUUUAUUGUAAAUCACAACCAAAUUUCAGUGCUCUUGUUUGAGACAGUAUUGUUUGUGGGAUAUGACAUCUCUGUCUCUGACUUACUGUCUUGUCAUAGUUCUUGAUGUCUGCCUGUCAGCACAGCAAGAGGGAUUUUUUCAUGUCUGAAUAGUCACCUUAAUGAUAGCAGAUGGAAACACCACAGGGGCUCCAAGCCCAUCACACUGUCAUUGUCACAAACUGCCCUGACCUGCUUCCACUCCUCUGUUUUUUUCUUUUUGGUCCCUUUUUAAAGGAGAAAUGGAUGGUAAUUGAAAAGGAUCUUAAGCAAGAUUUAUAGAGCUGUAGACAACACAAAUCCCUACUAUCUUUCUAUGUUUUCAAAAAUAAAGUCUUAACCUCUUAAGCAUCAGGAAUGGUAGGAAGAUAAAUUAGCUUGUAAAGUGUGAAAAGUUUGACUAACUCCAGAGAAUAUUAGAGGCCAUCCAGUAUGUGUGAUAGUUAUUUUUAAUAAUAAUUUUCAGUAAAGAUGAGUAUUAAAUUUUAUUCAGCAUCCCAUGCAAAUAUAUACAAUUCAGACUUAUUUGUGCAUUUUGAUUGAGGUAUUUUUAAAAAAAUUAAGAAGUCUUUCUCCACAGCUUUACAUAGAUAUUAAAAUAACUUGUUCAGAUUUGUAUUGUAAGUAUAUCAGCAAGAUAAAAAUCUGUUUAUAGAUCCUGAUAUAUAUAUAUAUAUAUAUAUAUAUAUAUAUAUAUAUAUAUAUAUGUAUAGAGAGAGAGAGAGAGAGAGAGAGAGAGAGAGAGAGAGUCCAGUUUAAUUGCUCAUGGCUUUGUUUUACUUAAUAUAAUCACAGCACAGUAUUGUGUCUAUUUAUUGAAAAGAAUGUCCCACUUU
Molecule: long non-coding RNA, 1977 nt
Organism: Anolis carolinensis (green anole)
Lineage: Eukaryota; Metazoa; Chordata; Lepidosauria; Squamata; Anolidae
Source: Ensembl